CCUACGGGGGGCUGCAGUGGGGAAUAUUGGACAAUGGGCGCAAGCCUGAUCCAGCCAUGCCGCGUGGGUGAAGAAGGCCUUCGGGUUGUAAAGCCCUUUUGUCCGGAAAGAAAAGCACUGGAUUAAUACUUCGGUGUUCUGACGGUACCGGAAGAAUAAGCACCGGCUAACUUCGUGCCAGCAGCCGCGGUAAUACGAAGGGUGCAAGCGUUACUCGGAAUUACUGGGCGUAAAGCGUGCGUAGGUGGUUCGUUAAGUCUGAUGUGAAAGCCCUG
Molecule: ribosomal RNA, 275 nt
Filed under: uncultured Lysobacter sp.
Lineage: Bacteria; Pseudomonadati; Pseudomonadota; Gammaproteobacteria; Lysobacterales; Lysobacteraceae
Description: partial 16S ribosomal RNA
Rfam family: Bacterial small subunit ribosomal RNA
Source: RNAcentral